This is a non-coding RNA of Hydra vulgaris (swiftwater hydra), 1347 nucleotides long. NCBI's taxonomy places the organism in Eukaryota, Metazoa, Cnidaria, Hydrozoa, Anthoathecata, Hydridae. The record is from RefSeq and is a predicted model, not a curated record.
AAUUAAAUGGGAUGGUACAGACACCAUAACAGGUUUAGGAAAGGACGGAGGUUUUCUAUCAAAAUUGGAAUAAUUAACCAGGAGGCGAUUAUUCUGAUUUAUUUGUAUGCUGCAUUGUAAUAAAUUAUCAUUGAGGUAUAUAACUGUUAAACUACAUGGUCCAACUAAUUCAAAGAGUUGUUUUACUAGCCCUAUUGAAAAGGCUCUAUUUAAAGUUAGUGGCAUAAAAAGAAUUGAAACAUUUGAACCUAUAUAACAGAUGGAAUCUUUGAUUGAACAUCGUGAAAAAAUCCCAAGACAAUGUUCACAGAUGCAAUGCUUUGUUAUAAAUUGGUAUAAUGCUUAUCUACAGACCAAAUUGACAUAAAUCUUUCUAAAACAAAGUGUAAAUAUAUUUGUCAUAGCAGAUGGCUUGCCGCAUUAGAUGGAUUGUUACAGCAGAAGCUUUUGUUUUUUUCUAUUUGAGUGAACACACGUUUACUGGUGACGUUUUUUCAAAACUUUAUUUAAUCGUUAAAUGGGUAGUACAAGUAUAUUUGCAUCUAUAAUAUAAAAUAAAAUUAAAGCACACUAUUGUUGAUGACCAUGUCACAGAGUAAAAAUGUUGUGAUUGCUAAAAAGACAAGAUAAGGAAAUGGAGCUUGUUUUGCCCACUCGGAAGUGUAGUCGGAGAUUAGCAGUGAUCACGUUUAGUCGGAGAUUUUGGCAGUGAUCUCAUUAUUUUUGGUAAAGCUUUUCCAAACGCCUGACGCCAUUGACGCCAAACGCCAUUGGAAUUUUAUUUUUAGUGGGUACAGGACGUUUGUUGGAAAUCUUAAGAACAUCGUACGAACCUGCGACGACUCUAAGAUGUUGUAUAGACCUCUUACGUCUGUGUCCGCUGGGCUGAAGAAAAAUAAUAAUUUCAAAGUCAAUGCUCUCAGCAAUCUCACGUUCAAUUAAAAUAGAUGCCAACCUAGAAAGACAUUAUUUUGUCAUUGUUGAUCACUGAUAACUUUUGAUAACCCUUGCCGACUCUAACUUUUCUUACCAUAAGCUGAUGUAAAAAGAAAAUUCAAGUCGAUUAUGUAAAGUAUAGACAAGUUAGGAAAAUAUGAUAUUAUCCAUUUCUCAAUUAAGAAUGGAUGUACGUUUUUCAUUUGGAUUUCAGUUGACAUUGCUGGAGAUAUUGAUGCAUACAAUAGGAAUAAUAUAGUGACAUUUAAAUUAAAAAUUUUAAAUUUUACUUAUCGCAGAAUCAAGUAUUAAUGUUUUUCCCUACUCUAUACAAAAACUUCUAUAUGUAUUUUUAAAUGUAAACUUAGUUGUUUUUAUUUUUGUAAAAAUAUGCAAAAAGUUGAAAAAAAU